AUGUUAUUUUUCCCCAGGGCUGGGUACUGGGGCCGGUUCUCUUUAACAUCUUUAUCAAUGAUCUGGACGAGGGGAUCGAGUGCACUCUCAGAGAAGGCUUGCUCUUCACUCUGCUGCUGGCUGUGGAGUUUGUCCAGAGAUGCCUCAGCACGGCCAUCUCCAGCCUGUGAGUACAAGAGGGUGCAGGGGGGACACGGAGACGAGGGGUGCCAGUGGGUCGGGGUGAGCAGGGUCAGGCUGGUGGUCAGGCUUCCCACCAGGAGACCCUGGCUCCUCCAAAAUCCCCGCUCCUCAGCUUGGAAGAGAAAGUGCCCCUGGGCAGGCAGGGCUCUGCCCUUGGCCACUGCUAAGCCCAGAACCCCCUCUUUGUCAGGAGAGAGACUGUCGCUGUGAACAGGAAGAGGCUCGUGGCGAUCCUCUUGGUGAUGAGCCUGGCUGCUCUCGGUGAGUCUGUCUGCUGCCAGCAGAGCACGGAGGCGGGGAGUGUGAGCUUCAGGGCGAGGGAGAGGAGCGAGCGGGGCCUUUCCAGCCUCCCGCCUCUGCAGCUCCAGGAGCUCCCUAGGUGCUCCCUGCAGGCGGAGCAGGGAGGGGAAUGGGGCUGUAGCUGUGGGGCACCAAGCGUGCCCGGGAACCAGGGCUGUCCCCCUCUGCCCCGAGGCCCAGGGAGAGGGUCCCUGCUUGGAGCCACAACCUCUCUCUGCCCCCUUUGCCCAUGUCCUCAGCCAGCCUCUUGCCAGCACCACGCUGGGGGAGAAGAAUGGCGGGACGGCAGGGAUCCUUAGAAACCCUCCUAAAGUAACUCUCUCUUGGGGAUGUGCAUUGCAGCUGCUGCCUGCUGGGGAAUCGUGCAGCUGACGUGGAGGCAGCGGGCAGAGGAUGUGCUGCAGGUGAGUGACUGCUGUUGUGGGACAGGAAAGGCCCAGAGGGGAGCCCCGCUGCUGGUGGGUGGGUACAUGGCCCCGUCCUGGGCUUCCAGGCAGUGACGCGGAGAACGGGCAGCAGCUUCUGCCAGCCCUUCCUGGAGCCACCAGCUCUGGAAAGGCCCGGCAGCUCUGGGACUCCAACGGAGAGCUUUUCUCUUUCAGAUUGGCUUUUCUGGUGGCCGCGUGGAACAAUCUCCCUGUCUGAGGAACGAGGUCGUGUGCCUGGCUGAUGAGAUGGACACCAUGAAGAAAGCGAUGCUGCAGGUAGGGAAGGAGGGCUGGGACCAGCUGGGCAGUGCCCAAGGCCCUUCUUGGAGCAGUGGUUGGGCUUUUCC
This 1258-nucleotide long non-coding RNA is filed under the name Calidris pugnax (ruff). RNAcentral describes it as "lncRNA (ENSCPUG00000015189.1)". Lineage: Eukaryota; Metazoa; Chordata; Aves; Charadriiformes; Scolopacidae. The record is from RNAcentral.